CGUAGAACCAACUGGGAUUGCCUUAGUAACGGCGAGUGAAGCGGCAAAAGCUCAAAUUUGAAAUCUGGUACCUUUGGUGCCCGAGUUGUAAUUUGGAGAGUACCACUUUGGGACUGUACUUUGCCUAUGUUCCUUGGAACAGGACGUCAUGGAGGGUGAGAAUCCCGUGUGGCGAGGGUGUCAGUUCUUUGUAAAGGGUGCUCGAAGAGUCGAGUUGUUUGGGAAUGCAGCUCUAAGUGGGUGGUAAAUUCCAUCUAAAGCUAAAUACAGGCGAGAGACCGAUAGCGAACAAGUACAGUGAUGGAAAGAUGAAAAGAACUUUGAAAAGAGAGUGAAAAAGUACGUGAAAUUGUUGAAAGGGAAGGGCAUUUGAUCAGACAUGGUGUUUUGCGCCCCUUGCCUCUCGUGGGCUUGGGACUCUCGCAGCUCACUGGGCCAGCAUCGGUUUUGGCGGCCGGAAAAAACCUAGGGAAUGUGGCUCUGCGCCUCGGUGUAGAGUGUUAUAGCCCUGGGGAAUACGGCCAGUCGGGACCGAGGACUGCGAUACUUGUUAUCUAGGAUGCUGGCAUAAUGGUUAUAUGCCGCCCGUCUUGAA
RNAcentral lists this ribosomal RNA (595 nucleotides) under Nakaseomyces glabratus. RNAcentral describes it as "LSU rRNA". It matches the Rfam family "Eukaryotic large subunit ribosomal RNA", at positions 51 to 658 of the family's 3401-position model. Lineage: Eukaryota; Fungi; Ascomycota; Saccharomycetes; Saccharomycetales; Saccharomycetaceae. The record is from RNAcentral.